This 253-nucleotide ribosomal RNA is filed under the name uncultured bacterium. Its description in RNAcentral is "partial 16S ribosomal RNA". It matches the Rfam family "Bacterial small subunit ribosomal RNA", at positions 524 to 776 of the family's 1533-position model. The record is from RNAcentral.
UACGUAGGGGGCAAGCGUUGUCCGGAAUCAUUGGGCGUAAAGAGCGUGUAGGCGGCCCGGUAAGUCUGAUGUGAAAGCCCACGGCUCAACCGUGGAGGGUCAUUGGAAACUGGGGGACUUGAGUGCAGGAGAGAAGAGUGGAAUUCCACGUGUAGCGGUGAAAUGCGUAGAGAUUUGGAGGAACACCAGUGGCGAAGGCGACUUUCUGGUCUGUAACUGACACUGAGGCGCGAAAGCGUGGGGAGCAAACAGG